RNA transcript from Brachypodium distachyon (stiff brome), 410 nucleotides. RefSeq lists it as uncharacterized. The transcript is spliced from 2 exons. The record is from RefSeq and is a predicted model, not a curated record. NCBI's taxonomy places the organism in Eukaryota, Viridiplantae, Streptophyta, Magnoliopsida, Poales, Poaceae.
AGAGGGUCCAUACUCCGCAACAUCUGCUCCUACCUUACUGAUCCCUUCGUCAUCUUCCGGCUACAAGGUCCUCAAGGAAGAGGUGCACGACUCCACCCUGAUCUUGUUGGAUGUAACCGUCGCUGGCAAUGGAUGUAACAUUGGUGUGCAAGGAGUGCCUAGCCAACGACUGGGCGCCGCUAUUCCAGGCCGUCAAAGGUUUGAUUCAAGGGCUGGUGAAGAGCAGGAAGGUGAAGCCAGCAAAGGAGCUCGGCAUGGCGAUGAGGAAGGCCACAAAGGGCGAUGCCAAAGCGGAGUGGGAGAAUGUCGAGUCUGCUAUAUUUCCACAAGGGCUUGCUGAUAGCACGGCGUAAUCCACACGUCGCGUAAGCGGAUAAGUCGUCGCUUUUUGCUUGAAAUCUAUUAAUUAA